This 96-nucleotide ribosomal RNA is filed under the name Scleromitrion diffusum. RNAcentral's name for it is "Oldenlandia diffusa 5.8S ribosomal RNA". It matches the Rfam family "5.8S ribosomal RNA", at positions 9 to 104 of the family's 154-position model. Rfam says of the family: 5.8S ribosomal RNA (5.8S rRNA) is a component of the large subunit of the eukaryotic ribosome. It is transcribed by RNA polymerase I as part of the 45S precursor that also contains 18S and 28S rRNA. Functionally, it is thought that 5.8S rRNA may be involved in ribosome translocation. The record is from RNAcentral. Lineage: Eukaryota; Viridiplantae; Streptophyta; Magnoliopsida; Gentianales; Rubiaceae.
GCAACGGAUAUCUAGGCUCUCGCAUCGAUGAAGAACGUAGCGAAAUGCGGUACUUGGUGUGAAUUGCAGAAUCCCGUGAACCAUCGAGUUUUUGAA